CAUUUAAUCCUCUCUGGCCCCUUUUCUCCCGGGAUCCAGGCACUCUCAUCUCUGUUGGUGGCCCCAGGAAGUCAGAGCCUCCCACAGAGAGAGCAGAGCUGCAGAGGGCCCCGGGCUGGGGGUGGCAGUCUUGGAUUGGUGCUCGUGUUGUGAUGGUCAGAGCCUCCCCUGCUAUUGUUAGGGACUGUCCAGCCUCUUCCCAAGCCCACUCUCCUGGAGCCUGGUGGAGCUUGCCUGGUGGUCCCAGAAAUCUGCAGCUGGGUGAGACCCCACAGGGAUCCCAUGGCCAUGUCCUGGCUGCCUUGAGUCUGUGAGGCCACACAGCCUCCCACCUGCAUCUCCAGGGCUCUGUCCCUGUCCAGCCCCUGGACCAGCUUCCGAGUCUACUCCUCACCCCAGCCCGGGGACGCCUCAAGCUUCAGGACUCAGUGGGGCACAGUAGCAGUCACGGUAGGCGGCGACCCCACUCUGCUCUCUCUUGGCUCCUGGGAAUACUUAGCUGAGCCUUCUUGGUCUCUGGAAUAGGAAGGAGACCUUUCUGAACACCAUAUCUGUCACCGUAUCCCUUUGGUUGCACAUCGCAAAAAAACUUAUUUCAAUAAGAUACAAGUAUCAGCUCAUGUAACUGAAGUAUCCAGAGGUAGAUGGGGCUUCAUCCAGCGGUUCAGUGUGGCCAGGACCUGUUUUCUGUCUGCAUUUCUCUGCUCCCUCUUCCUUGGUGGUGGCUCCACCUCUAUGAGCAUU
This 744-nucleotide long non-coding RNA is filed under the name Felis catus (domestic cat). RNAcentral describes it as "lncRNA (ENSFCAG00000047658.1)". Lineage: Eukaryota; Metazoa; Chordata; Mammalia; Carnivora; Felidae. The record is from RNAcentral.